Molecule: small RNA, 328 nt
Filed under: Vigna angularis var. angularis
Lineage: Eukaryota; Viridiplantae; Streptophyta; Magnoliopsida; Fabales; Fabaceae
Description: Non-protein coding transcript
Source: RNAcentral
GGGGUUAUUUAGCCCUAUAUGCAUUUGCUUCAAUUUGAAGAAUAUAUACCUGGAGAAUGCCGCACCAUCGGAUAAAUUUCAUGUUAACUCCAUAUUCAAGAUCAUCAGGAGCAUGAGAGUAACCCCCUAACAUGGUGGCAUAUAUUCAUACCUUGAGUGCAAGGGCUAUGGCAACCCCAACAAUGAAAAGAAAGAAAGGCACAACGAAAUCGGCCAAAGUACAUCCAUUCCAUGGGGAGUGAUCAAUGCGUGGAUAAGCUUCACCAGCAUCGUCUACCAAUAUCAUCAACUGCACAUAAAUUAAGAGCGAAAAAUGUUUACCAAUUAA